GAAGGUUCAGCUAGAUGAGCUGGUAUAUUAUAGGUUUUAGGUAUAUAUAUAGUAAUGUAUGUAGCCGAGGAAUACUAAAACACCGAAAGAGGUUUUUAAU
Molecule: ribosomal RNA, 100 nt
Filed under: Hydnora esculenta
Lineage: Eukaryota; Viridiplantae; Streptophyta; Magnoliopsida; Piperales; Hydnoraceae
Description: 4.5S ribosomal RNA
Source: RNAcentral